RNAcentral lists this long non-coding RNA (852 nucleotides) under Equus asinus (donkey). RNAcentral's name for it is "lncRNA (ENSEASG00005034565.1)". Lineage: Eukaryota; Metazoa; Chordata; Mammalia; Perissodactyla; Equidae. The record is from RNAcentral.
CCCAAGGCGGCAACGGGUCCGCAGGACGCGCUCACCGAGGUUCAGCGGCACGUUUGUGGGCGCGCAGGAGAGCCCAGGACAGCCGGAGCCAAGGGCAGGCGGUGGAGCUCAGGGGUGGAACGAAGGCGAAGCCCAGGAUGGGACAGACGGCGGAGCCCAGGAUGGGACGGACGGCGGAGCCCAGGACAGGCGGAGCCAAGGGCAGGCGGCGGAGCCCAGGACAGGACAGGCGGCGGAGCCCGGCAGGCCGCCCCGGCCCAGCCCCUAGCGCCGCAGUCUAGACCCGGCGCCUCGCUCCUCUGAUUCUCAGACGCCUGAGGACUCGCUGUGGUCGUGUUCGGAGGCCGUCAGCUGAGACGGCGCCAGUUUUGGCUCAACUGAAAAGUAAACACCCCAGCGAGAAUCUCCCAAAUGCAGGGACUUGGGAAACUGUGCAAGAUGCCUUGCUAAGUGAACAGAGCCAUGGGAACAACUCUAUCAUAAAAUACUGAGGUGGGUUAUUUCUUAACGACAUAUAGAUAAAUUCCUGAAGGUACAUUGAGAAUUUAUGGAAUAGUGCCCAAGUAAAUGUUUACAGAAGAUAUAGAUAUCUGUAGGGUAGAGGAAAGUUAAAUGUUCAUUUUAAUCCUUCUAGACUCUACAACUUUUGUUAAUUAAAAUAUUAUUUAAAAAAUGUCCCCUGGCACCCCACUGGCCUGGCAUACCCUGCCUCCCACAGGACCCCAUGGUGGCAAGGAGCGCAACUAGAAACACUGGUGUAUUAGGUGUGGACCGCAUGUGCCACAAAACUAAGUGUGCAGAAUUAUUACUUUCUUCAACUUGAAUGAGCACCAUUUAAUUUUUUAUUUCGAU